Molecule: long non-coding RNA, 1784 nt
Organism: Helianthus annuus (common sunflower)
Lineage: Eukaryota; Viridiplantae; Streptophyta; Magnoliopsida; Asterales; Asteraceae
Exons: 3
Source: RefSeq, a predicted model, not a curated record
AACCCUAUCUAACUUAACACCAGCCGCUACCAUCCAUUGUUCCCUCUCAUCUGCUAUCUGCAACUGAAGAUUUAACCCAAACACACAUCUCAUCUCCUUUAAUACACACACACAUGGAGACCCUUUCACCUCUACAAACUCUCAAGACAAACCACAGGCACCAUAAUCUCUUCUCUCCAUCUCGAUUCCAAGCCAGCAACCACCAGGGGGUGGCACCGAUUAACUGGCCGACAACCACACGUCUGCAAAUACCCCCCCCCCCCCUUUUCGAUUAACAAAAUGGAGCACCACCACCACCGUCCGGUGGUGGUGCGGCGGCUACAAACAGAAGAGAGAGACGAGUUAGAGAGAGACCGAGGAGAGGGAGAGAGACGGCGGAGGUUGAUGACGGCGGCGGGUGGUUCGAUGACGACGGCAACGAGCAGUUUUCCGAUGACCGACGAGCAGAGGGGAUCUGGCAGCCGCUGUUCUGCUGUGAUGAUGAUGAUGUCUCCGGUAAGUCAACCAAUGCUCAACCUUUUCACAGAUUGAGUCGUGUUACCUUGUUAGUCGGCUUCUUUUGCUUUUCUUUUUGUGGAUUCCAAACAAAAACGACGCCGGAAAAGGUUCACCGACGGUAACCGAGCCGCUGCAGUGGUGGUCGGCGGAGUGGAAGGGCAUAGUACGGGUUUUAUUGCUGUAUUGGGCCUGGUCAACACGAGUCAAAGCUCAGGUCAACAAGUCACCGGGUCACUCCUCUCAGAUUCAUGUUGGGCUCGAGUCAAGCUGCUUCGGUUCGGGUUUCGUGAGGCGAGUUAACAGGCGGGUCCGGUUCGGUCAGGUUCAGAUUUUGGUUCGGUCGACUCGGUCAAACCUGGUCAACUCCCUGAGUCAACUCGGUCAACUCAGCCGGUCAACUCAGUCAAACAUUUCGACGACUCGACGAGAGUUUUGGAGUGUUUAUAGAUUACACGCUAGCGAGUCACGUCUUGGAAAUGACAUCACGGAAUCAUAAUUGGCUAGCUUUGCACAGGAACAUCUAGUUUUAUAACUUCGGGAGUGAAAUACAUGUUACAAAUGUUUCAAACGUAUACAAGUGGUAUGGUUAGCUAAGGAAUGAACUGUUAGAUCAUGUGAAUGGGUGGGCGCACUUCAGACCAUUAAUCAUUGUAUAAAGACCGAGGGGGAUGAGUGAUAGAUCUAUUUGGGUGUUGGGAUCCCCACCCAUGAGACCGCGAGUUGGACCAUGUGGUGACUAUGUCGUUCCCGCCGGGUGGCCCGGUACGAAAUACGUAAAGGAUUGAGCCUUCCUGCACCAUUUCGCACAUACUAAUGUCGUUGUGAAACAUUAAUUGAUCUGUUCAUAGAUGUUACAUACUAGUUUUAGAUACUCGAAUUUUCAAAUGCUCUUAAGACUCAACUGAUGAUAACUCACAAAUACAUGGACUUACGAAUUUUGGUAACGCUUUUCAACUUAUGUAUAAGUAAGAGGACGGGGUGAUCCUGCUUACAAAGACUCUCGUGGGCUAGACUCGCAGUUUUCAUACAACAUGCUGAGAAAAAUGAUUUUACUAAAUUUUUCUCCACAACUUUUAAUUCGGUAAACAAAAAGAUUUAUUUAAAAAUCUUUUCCAAAACAAACUAUGAACUCGCUCAACUUUAUGUUGAUUUUUCGCAAGUUUCUUUCUCAUGUUACUUUUUCAAAACAUGGUGCGGUUGGAAUAGGAGAACCAUGUGGAGUCGAGUACUUAGUGGCAUUCGUUUUCUAUAAGUCUUAGCUUAUUUGCUUCCGCUGUGCAAUGAAG